RNAcentral lists this ribosomal RNA (253 nucleotides) under uncultured bacterium. RNAcentral's name for it is "partial 16S ribosomal RNA". It matches the Rfam family "Bacterial small subunit ribosomal RNA", at positions 524 to 776 of the family's 1533-position model. The record is from RNAcentral.
UACGAAGGGAGCUAGCGUUGCUCGGAAUCACUGGGCGUAAAGGGUGCGUAGGCGGGUCUUUAAGUCCGGGGUGAAAUCCUGGAGCUCAACUCCAGAACUGCCUUUGAUACUGAAGAUCUUGAGUUCGGGAGAGGUGAGUGGAAAUGCGAGUGUAGGGGUGAAAUUCGUAGAUAUUCGCAAGAACACCAGUGGCGAAGGCGGCUCACUGGCCCGAUACUGACGCUGAGGCACGAAAGCGUGGGGAGCAAACAGG